UUCAGGCUGAAAGCCUUGCAGCUGUGACCGUGAUAAAACAAUUAACACAAAUUAACAGCACACAUAUUCAACCCAGCUAUUUAGGUCUCCCUUUGGGUAAUUAAUAUAACAGUUAAAAACCACACAUGUAAAAAUAUAAACAACAAUAAAUAGUGUCAUAAAAUACAAUAAAACAGUGAACAACUAUUUAAAAAGUGUGCUUAUUAUAACCAUAAAACCAUGGUGAAAAUAACACUAUUUUAGUCACUUGUGACAGCAAUUUAAGGAAAUUAUUCUAUUUUUCUUUAACAGUUUCCAGGAAGCUGACAUGAUGUAACAUUGGUUGAUACAUUUUAAAGGUUUUCCUGGGAUUCUCUUAAGUCAGGAAUGCUGAGAAGGCUAUGGCCUUCAGAAAGUUAUCUGUCUUCACAGACUGAUAUCCGACUCAACAGCAAUUGUGAUGCGAUUUUUUAUUAAGGGAAUAGAAUGAGAAAGGAUAACAGCUAUCACUUGUCAAAUAUAAAGUAUUGAGGUCAGGCCUGGAGAUGCUCUGUGUGUUAUGUUACCACUUAUGACCAGUCUCAAGAUAUAUUAUAGGGUCAUAGAGUAGAUGAAAAGCUGCAUGCUACAGUACAUGCAGGUGUGGAUUACAGACAACGAAAGCAAAUACAACAUAAAAACAAAUACAUGUGGAAAUUAUAUGCUAAAGUCAAAAUCUAUGGUUCAAUGACCAACACAUUUCGGAUGAAUCCUGAACUGCUAAGCCAAAGGCUUUGGUUGCUGAGAGGACAGAUGAGUCUUUAUUUUAUAUUUCUCAAUGCAGUUAACCAGAUGACAUCCCAUUAACCUUUAUGAAAAGGUUCUGAUGGUGCAGAACCCAUUGCCUUUUUGGUACAUAAUAAACAUAUGGUAGAGCAAAUGCUUGCAUUUUUUUUCUUAGGAAUUAUGUGAUUUUGUAUCUGACAAAACUAAAUUUAUUUUCCUAUUUUCAGAAAUUACUAUAAUAAUCCAUUUAAAGUAAAGGGCCUAAGGGCCUUUAGUUUGUUCUGUAAAGGAGGAGCUAGUGUCAAAUAUUAUAUUCACUCCUACAGAAUAAUAUUGAAUAAUCAAAUAAGGUGUUAGCAUAACGGUAAAGUAUAUUAAAAUGACUGAUUUAUAGGUUGUGAAAUAAAAUCUUAUAAUAAAUGUUAAAAUAUAUGUGAGAGAAAGCUCUGAAUAUCCCCAAAGUUAUUCGAAAUAUUGUAAAUACCAAGUUUCAUCAUAAUUUAAUAAAACGUUUUACAGAUAAAAAAAUGUGUGACAUUCAGAUGUACAGAUAGACAGCUGGAAAAAUGUGGUAUGAUACUAUGAUACCUAAUCUAAUUAUUGGUGAGAUCUGAUUAGAGUGUUUUAAAAAAGCUAUUAUUUUUUAAUUAACUUUAGAAUACUGGCAUAUUAUUGUACAAUCAAAAUUGCAAUGUUCAUCUGCGGGAUCGUGAUGAACUGGUGGGGCAAACUUGAAGUGGACAAACCCAAGAUUAAAACCACCUUUAUAAAAUUCAUCCUAAUAGUAUGUGUUACCAUCAUAUACCAGAUAUCAAAUUUCAAGAUCCUAAAUAGAUAUUCCAUUCCUGAUACAAACUUCUCUUUCAUUGUGAAUGUAAUAAAAGCUAGUCCUGAAAGCAAUUGCAGUGGCUCUGGUGGAUAAUCCAAAUAUCUCUGGCUAGACAAUACAAAGUAAAUGCCUGAAUGCAUUAAAGAGAUCUAAAAAUAUAACAGAAAUUCAGAGUGCUGUAAUAAAAUCAAAUUCCCUGCACUCAGAGGGAGCCUAAAAUGUCAAGCUAAGUGCGUGUAGAGAAGAACCCCUGAAUAUAAUGGUGUGAAGCAGAUUGCUUUUAAAGUGCCACCAAGGCAAAAGGAAUUCAGACUCAACUGAUUUCAACCGUGGGCUAAGAAUGCAGUGGUCGGUGUUUCUGCAGCUUUACGGUUUUUGUUGGCUUUUCAGUUUUCCCUUUCACUCCUCACAGACCAUUUUACAGAAUGCAUUAUCAUGUAUUCUAGGGGCUUAGUAGGUCAACCAUCUCCUCUUUGCAAUACCAAGCAUCCAUAGUUCAUUGUCUUCAGGUGAAGUGAAAACAAGAAAAAAACAAGCCACUCAUUAAUAAGGAAGGAUGUAGAAUAAUCUACAAUGAUACCAAUUUCCAGUGUCUGACAGUGAUCAUGUUUAUGAUAUUGUGGCAAAGUGGUUAACAGUGUGCAGGUGCAGGUGAACAGACAGACAAUUAUAAUCCAGGUGCAAAGUUGUUUAAAGGGUUUGUAUGUCCAGUGCCUGGCAGCAAAAUAAACAGUAAACAGUAAAUGAUGCCAAGUAAUACAGCGGCAUGUAUUAUUUAAAUUGUAAUCUCUGGGUUUGUCCCGAAAUAAUAGUUCUGUUCUUUAUACACCCCCACAA
This is a long non-coding RNA of Acipenser ruthenus (sterlet), 2410 nucleotides long. RefSeq lists it as uncharacterized. Lineage: Eukaryota; Metazoa; Chordata; Actinopteri; Acipenseriformes; Acipenseridae. The record is from RefSeq and is a predicted model, not a curated record. The transcript is spliced from 3 exons.